UCGGCCCCCUUCGUCCACGUUCUAGAAAGUUUGUGACACUGGCGACGUGGAACCGUGGCACUGGAGGCC
RNAcentral lists this non-coding RNA (69 nucleotides) under Ixodes ricinus (castor bean tick). Lineage: Eukaryota; Metazoa; Arthropoda; Arachnida; Ixodida; Ixodidae. The record is from RNAcentral.